UUCCAAGAUAUAAAUAUAGACCUUUCCAACAUAAAAAAUUACUUGACAAUAACAAAUGGGUUAUUGCUGACCCUUGUGGAAAAUUUUACUCCCCAACCAAAAGAGACAACAGCAACCGAUGCACCCCAAGUGCAUAAACCAGAUGAACUUGUGCAUAACCCAGAUGAACUAGUGAAGAUGAGACAAGCAGUAACAACCAAGAAAUUGC
Non-coding RNA from Podarcis lilfordi (Lilford's wall lizard), 208 nucleotides. The record is from the annotation of a GenBank genome assembly. Lineage: Eukaryota; Metazoa; Chordata; Lepidosauria; Squamata; Lacertidae.